AGCAAAAUGAUGUGAUUAUGUAUCUGAAAUUUAUGUUGAAUCAUCUACAAACCUAAUGGUCUUCAAAGUUAUCUGAUUGCU
This is a small nucleolar RNA of Papaver somniferum (opium poppy), 81 nucleotides long. RefSeq annotates it as small nucleolar RNA R160. The record is from RefSeq and is a predicted model, not a curated record. The transcript has a single exon. NCBI's taxonomy places the organism in Eukaryota, Viridiplantae, Streptophyta, Magnoliopsida, Ranunculales, Papaveraceae.